This 253-nucleotide ribosomal RNA is filed under the name uncultured bacterium. Its description in RNAcentral is "partial 16S ribosomal RNA". It matches the Rfam family "Bacterial small subunit ribosomal RNA", at positions 524 to 776 of the family's 1533-position model. The record is from RNAcentral.
UACGUAGGGUGCGAGCGUUGUCCGGAAUUAUUGGGCGUAAAGAGCUCGUAGGCGGCUUGUCACGUCGGAUGUGAAAGCCCGGGGCUUAACUCCGGGUCUGCAUUCGAUACGGGCAGGCUAGAGUUCGGUAGGGGAGAUCGGAAUUCCUGGUGUAGCGGUGAAAUGCGCAGAUAUCAGGAGGAACACCGGUGGCGAAGGCGGUUCUCUGGGCCUUACCUGACGCUGAGGAGCGAAAGCGUGGGGAGCAAACAGG